RNAcentral lists this long non-coding RNA (821 nucleotides) under Brassica rapa (field mustard). RNAcentral's name for it is "long non-coding RNA (BRAP_LNC002461)". Lineage: Eukaryota; Viridiplantae; Streptophyta; Magnoliopsida; Brassicales; Brassicaceae. The record is from RNAcentral.
UGAGCUUCUCUCUGUGCAUUCAGUGCUUGAUAUUGCAAAUUCACCAUCUCAGCCAUCAGUUCCAGAAGUGCUAUCAUAGCUGGAUCGGUUGGCGCUGGUUGAGGUUGUGCUGCCGGAAUAGGUGCGGCAGGGGCCGGUGGAAUAUGAGCGGCAAGAGCUGGUGGAAUAUGAGCGGCAGGAUAUGCAGGAGAUGCAGGAGCUGCGGGAUGAUCUCCAUGCACUGGACUAUCGUGUACCACAUCCACCUCGAUGUUGAUAAAGUACGGGUCUGGAGACAAAGGAAUGUGCGCUGGUGUCUGAUCAUAUGACCCUUCAGACAGGUCAGUCUCAAAGCUAGAGCCCGAAGGUGUAGCCUCAAAGCUAGGAGUCAGAAGUGGUGCCGGAGUAGAUGGCGGCGAGGAGUCUGAAGAUGAUGAAAUAGGUAUCGGUAGAUAAUCUCCACCAUGAUGUGCCUGUCUCGGUGGCACCUGCAACAAAAGAUCAUGGUAAGUUUCUACCCAGGUCUAUCAAUUCCUAAGAAGGAACAAACCAGCAUAUCCUAAUUAUCCUUGCGACACAUUUUUGACUCGAAAUUUUUUUUUUUUUUUGAAACAAGUCCCAUUCUAGCAUCGUAUAACAAUGCUCUGAUACCACCGUUGUGACACCCCCGAUCGUAGAUAACCGGAAAUGACACGGUCGAUGUUCCCUGAUGGUCGACCCGAGGUUCUCGAAAUAAAUCUGAUCACCUUAAACCAACAACCAAAGAACACAGACACUGAUAUCGGAUAUUACUCUAGGCUUUUCAACCCGAUAAAGCAAUAUUCGAUAGUUAGUUCGUCCCG